This 154-nucleotide microRNA precursor is filed under the name Amborella trichopoda. RNAcentral's name for it is "MIR8565 microRNA precursor family". It matches the Rfam family "MIR8565 microRNA precursor family". The record is from Rfam by way of RNAcentral. Lineage: Eukaryota; Viridiplantae; Streptophyta; Magnoliopsida; Amborellales; Amborellaceae.
UCCAUAUCCAUGUGUGUAGGAUCCUAAAAAAUCACCAUUAAAUUUGGUACAGAUCUCUAGAAAAAUUAUCUCAUGGGUGUGAGACUUGACUUUUCUAGAGAUCUGUGCCAAAUUUAAUGAUGAUCAUUUGGAGUCCUACACACAUGGGUGUGGG